UAGCUGAAACAGUUGAGAGUGGUGCAGAGAUCACUUACGCGGAUCCAAUAUUCUACAAAUGAAAAGCACUGAAAUCGGUCGAGGUGUAAAGAGCAGAUAAUGAGGUGAACGCUGGAUUCUCGAGACACUGACCAACUCUUGAUCAAACUGGCAUUCUGUUUUUGGUUUAGUAACUUUUUACACCCUGAUCACAUUAUUAUUAUUAUUAUUUUUUUUUUUUUUUUUUUUUGUGCAUUUAAAUAUAUGCACAUUAAAAAGUUAACAAAAGUGAUUUCUUGCGAAGGGUUUUCCCAGUUUAAACUGGAUUUCAUUGAGGUAUAGUCAUACAGAUUUCAUUCUUACUCAUUUUGGAGUCCUGAAGUGGAAAAAUGCAUUGAUUGUGAAUUGAGAAG
Long non-coding RNA from Carassius carassius (crucian carp), 392 nucleotides. RefSeq lists it as uncharacterized. The transcript has 2 exons. Lineage: Eukaryota; Metazoa; Chordata; Actinopteri; Cypriniformes; Cyprinidae. The record is from RefSeq and is a predicted model, not a curated record.